CCUACGGGAGGCAGCAGUGGGGAAUAUUGCACAAUGGGGGAAACCCUGAUGCAGCGACGCCGCGUGAGUGAAGAAGUAUCUCGGUAUGUAAAGCUCUAUCAGCAGGGAAGAAAAUGACGGUACCUGAUUAAGAAGCCCCGGCUAACUACGUGCCAGCAGCCGCGGUAAGACGUAGGGGGCAAGCGUUAUCCGGAUUUACUGGGUGUAAAGGGAGCGUAGACGGCAGGACAAGUCUGGAGUGAAAUGCCGGGGCUUAACCCCGGAACUGCAUUGGAAACUGUGCAGCUAGAGUGCAGGAGAGGUAAGUGGAAUUCCUGGUGUAGCGGUGAAAUGCGUAGAUAUUAGGAGGAACACCAGUGGCGAAGGCGGCUUACUGGACUGUAACUGACGUUGAGGCUCGAAAGCGUGGGGAGCAAACAGGAUUAGAUACCCGGGUAGUC
Molecule: ribosomal RNA, 440 nt
Filed under: uncultured bacterium
Lineage: Bacteria
Description: partial 16S ribosomal RNA
Rfam family: Bacterial small subunit ribosomal RNA
Source: RNAcentral